Molecule: long non-coding RNA, 996 nt
Organism: Peromyscus eremicus (cactus mouse)
Lineage: Eukaryota; Metazoa; Chordata; Mammalia; Rodentia; Cricetidae
Exons: 2
Source: RefSeq, a predicted model, not a curated record
CCCAAAGUUCCAAAUUCCAAAGCCAAGAAGAGCCUUUGUCUCUACAAAAUGUCACCAGUCUCAAUCACCAUCUUCUUCAUGUUCCCUGUAUCUUAUUGCCUCAGCUGAAGGCCACCACACUACUGUUACCUGCUGCAGAAACCUCGUAUCAAUCCAUACCUAUCAGCAGAUAACUUCUGAUAAAUGUAGCUCUCACCACUCAUCAAAGAGACUUCUCUUUAUAAAAGACGGAGACCAUUUCAGAAAUCUGGUAAAAAUACAGACAACAAGGGGGUGCUCAGCUGCAAUUGAUACAUCUACAACAUAACUCCCGUACCUAAGGCUCAGGAAACAUCUCCACGGACAAGACUGAAAGACUGUAAGAGCCAGAGGAUCGGGAAAUCUGCUAUUAUGUCUCCUAGAAACGACAAGGAGCCUUCACCCACGACACCUCAACAAUGUGGUGGCCUAUACAAGACCUGAAGAAGUAAAACACUAACAGCCAUGCUGACAUGGAGGGAGUAAUCUCACAGCCUCCACAGACAAGAACUACAGGCAGCUAAGGAACGCUCAAAGGAGAAAGUCUUCCCCAGGGAUGAGCCCCAAAUUGGCUGACCAAUACCAAGUGCUCAGCCUUCAAAUUAUAUAGAUAUAUGUAACACUAAACAGACUGGUCAGGUUGUAUUUGUAUAUUUAAGGAAAUAUACUUUUUCUUUUUUUGGUGUGUAUAAACCAACAAUGAAGAAAGAGAUCAUGAUUUAUUUCAAGUGGGGAACAAGCCUUGGGAACAUGAAAGGGACUGAAGGGAAGAAAGGGAAGGGGGGAAAUUAUGUAAUUUUAAUUUAAAAAUGUGAUUUAAAAAACCUUAUGGUAUAAGCUGAGCAUGCCCAGAGACAUUUCUGCCCAUUGCUUUAAUCUUUUACACACUGUAUCAUGACUUUAAACUAAGCAUUGUCCAAAAUAUAUCUAUUGUCUUUUCUUUUUAAAUUUUAACAUUAAACUAAGCAUACACAGAAA